RNAcentral lists this ribosomal RNA (5367 nucleotides) under Triticum aestivum (bread wheat). RNAcentral describes it as "partial small subunit ribosomal RNA". The stretch from base 2996 to 3076 matches the Rfam family "Small nucleolar RNA J33". Lineage: Eukaryota; Viridiplantae; Streptophyta; Magnoliopsida; Poales; Poaceae. The record is from RNAcentral.
AUGAGCCACCUGCGCAACCGCCGCCCCACCGCCGCGGCGGCGGCGGAGCAGCCGCCGGUCCAGGCGUCGUACAACAUCAUCCCGAUCCAGGACGUGGUGAUGCACGGGCAGCACCCGUCGCUGCGGUUCCCGGAGGUGCGCGCGGCGGUGGAGGCGAUGGCGCACGCGGAGGACCUCCCGCAGCCGCCGCUCAUGCGCGCCUGGGACUUCCGCCGCGCCGACCUCUUCGACUGGCUCGGCGCCACCUUCGGCUUCCAGCUGCACAACGUCCGCAACCAGCGGGAGCACCUCGUGCUGCUCCUCGCCAACGCGCAGCUCCGCGCCGGCGGCACCCUGCCCGCCGACCACCCCGCCGACGUCCUCCACUCCUCCGUCGCCCGGAACAUCCGGAAGAAGCUCCUCAGGAACUACACUGCCUGGUGCGCCUACCUCGGCCAGAGGCCGCACGUCCACGUGCCCAGCGCCGGCCGCCGGACCGGUGCUUCGGCCACCGUCGGCGUCGACACCCGCAGGGACCUCCUCUACACGGCGCUGUACCUGCUAAUCUGGGGGGAGGCUGCCAAUUUGAGGUUCAUGCCGGAGUGCCUCUGCUACAUCUUCCACUACAUGGCCCUCGACCUCAGCCAUGUCAUGGACUGCUCUAUCGAUAUUGAGACAGGGCGGCUUGCAAUCCCUGCUGUGUGCGGUGAGGAGGCUUUCCUGAACCGUGUUGUCAUUCCGAUUUAUACUGUGCUCAAGGCCGAGGUUGAGGCAAGCCGGAAUGGGACCAAGCCACACUCAGCGUGGAGAAAUUAUGAUGAUGUGAAUGAGUACUUCUGGAGCCGGCGAGUCUUCAAGAAGCUCCGGUGGCCACUGGAUUCAUCAAGGGGCUUCUUUGUGCCGCCGGGGAAGUUUGGCCGUGUUGGGAAGACUGGUUUUGUAGAGCAGCGGUCUUUCUGGAAUGUCUACCGCAGCUUCGACCGGUUAUGGGUGAUGCUUAUUCUGUUCUUUCAGGCAGCGAUGAUCAUUGCAUGGAAUGGUAGCGGGAUUCCAUGGGAGACCCUCAGGCACCGUGACAUCCAGGUCCGGGUGCUGUCAGUGUUCAUCACCUGGGCUGGGCUGCGCUUUAUGCAGGCGUUGCUUGAUGCGGGCACUCAAUACAGUCUUGUGUCGAGGGAGACUAAGCUCAUCUCUGUCCGGAUGGUCCUCAAGGCGUUUGUUGCUGCAGGGUGGACUAUCACAUUCAGCGUGCUUUAUGUGCGGAUGUGGGAUCAGCGGUGGCGAGAUCGCAGGUGGUCCUUCGCCGCCGAAACCAGGGUGUUAAAUUUCCUUGAAGCAGCUGCUGUGUUUGUCAUCCCACAGGUGCUUGCGUUGGUGCUGUUCAUCAUUCCUUGGGUUCGGAAUUUUACGGAGAAAACCAAUUGGAGAAUUCUAUAUGUGCUCACCUGGUGGUUCCAGACGCGCACAUUUGUAGGCCGUGGUCUGAGGGAGGGACUAAUAGAUAACAUCAAGUAUUCCCUGUUCUGGAUCUGCCUUCUUGCUGCUAAGUUUAGCUUCAGCUACUUCCUCCAGAUUAAGCCGAUGGUGUCCCCCACAAAGACAAUAUUCAGCCUCCAUGACAUCCGGCGUAACUGGUUUGAGUUCAUGCCCCACACGGAGCGGAUUGCUGUAAUCAUCCUGUGGCUCCCAGUUGUCCUCAUUUACCUCAUGGAUAUCCAGAUAUGGUAUGCAGUCUUCUCAUCACUUACAGGGGCACUAAUCGGUCUUUUCUCGCAUCUGGGGGAGAUUCGCAGUGUUGAGCAGCUGCGGUUGAGGUUUCAGUUUUUUGCAAGUGCAAUGCAGUUCAAUUUGAUGCCAGAGGAGCACCUGGACAAGUUGCAUGGUGGCAUCCGGAGUAAACUGUAUGAUGCAAUUCACCGGCUCAAGCUGAGAUACGGUUUUGGCCGCCCAUAUAGGAAAAUUGAAGCAAAUGAGGUCGAAGCAAAGAGAUUUGCACUGAUUUGGAAUGAGAUCAUUCUGACAUUUAGGGAAGAAGACAUUGUUAGUGACAAGGAAGUUGAGCUUCUUGAGCUUCCACCAGUUGUUUGGAAAAUUCGUGUGGUGCGGUGGCCGUGCUUGCUGCUAAACAAUGAGCUGCUUCUUGCUCUCAGUCAAGCAAAAGAGCUAGUGGCUGAUGACAGGACACACUGGGGUAGGAUAUCUAGCAUCGAGUACAGGCGAUGUGCUGUGAUUGAAGCUUAUGACAGCAUACGCCAGUUGCUGCUGGAGAUCAUUGAGGAGAGGACGGAUGAGCACGUUAUUGUCAAUCAGCUGUUCCUUGCAUUUGAUAACGCAAUGGAAUACGGGAAAUUCUCUGAAUACUACAGGCUAGACUUGUUACCUAAAAUCCAUUCAUCUGUAAUCACCUUAGUGGAACUGCUACUGAAGGAAAAAAAAGAUCAGACCAAGAUAGUCAACACCUUGCAGACUCUCUAUGUCCUUGCAGUUCAUGAUUUUCCAAAGACCAGGAAGGGUAUUGAACAGCUCCGGCAAGAGGGGCUAGCACCGUCAAGGUUGACUGAAUCUGGGUUGCUCUUUGAGGAUGCCGUAAAAUUCCCUGGUGAGAAUGAUCUUAGCUUCUACAAGCAGGUGAGGCGCCUCCAUACAAUCCUCACAUCCAGGGAUUCCAUGAACAAUGUCCCAAAGAACCCUGAGGCUAGGCGGCGUAUAGCUUUCUUCAGCAACUCCCUAUUCAUGAACAUGCCUCGUGCUCCCACAGUUGAGAAGAUGGUGGCAUUCAGUGUUUUGACUCCAUAUUACAACGAAGACGUCAUGUACAACAAGGACCAGCUUCGUCGUGAAAAUGAAGAUGGCAUCUCAAUCUUGUUUUAUCUUCAGAAGAUUUAUGAAGAUGACUGGGCGAACUUUUUAGAACGUAUGAGGAGGGAGGGAAUGGUUAGUGAUGAUGAUAUUUGGGCUGGGAAAUUUCAGGAGCUCCGACUUUGGGCCUCGUAUAGGGGUCAGACCUUAUCACGGACUGUUAGGGGAAUGAUGUACUAUUACAGGGCUCUCAAGAUGCUUGCUUUUCUUGAUACUGCCUCUGAGAUUGACAUUACAGAAGGAACAAAACAUCUGGCUAGCUUUGGUUCCAUUAGGCAUGAAAAUGAUGUGUAUCCUAUGAACAAUGGUUUGCAACAACGGCCUCAAAGGAGGUUGAACAGAGGAGCCAGCACUGUCAGUCAGUUGUUUAAAGGCCAGGAAGAUGGUGCUGCUCUCAUGAAGUACACCUAUGUGGUCGCUUGCCAGAUAUACGGAAACCAGAAAAAGGGGAAAGAUCCACGUGCCGAAGAUAUCCUGUCUCUUAUGAAGAAAAAUGAGGCCCUUCGUGUUGCUUAUGUUGAUGAGGUCCACGAGAUGGGUGGUAUACAAUAUUAUUCUGUCCUUGUAAAAUUUGACCAGGACUUGCAGAAAGAGGUUGAGAUAUACAGGAUCAGGUUGCCAGGCCAACUGAAACUUGGAGAAGGUAAACCCGAAAACCAGAACCAUGCCAUCAUAUUCACAAGAGGCGAUGCAGUGCAAACAAUUGACAUGAACCAAGAUAAUUAUUUUGAGGAGGCUCUCAAGAUGCGCAAUCUAUUACAACAGUACAACUAUUAUCAUGGGAGCCAAAAGCCAACCCUGUUGGGAGUUCGAGAACAUGUUUUCACUGGAUCUGUCUCUUCACUUGCUUGGUUCAUGUCUGCACAAGAGACAAGCUUUGUUACCCUUGGGCAGCGUGUGCUAGCUAAUCCACUGAAGGUUCGGAUGCAUUAUGGACAUCCUGAUGUAUUUGAUCGCCUUUGGUUUCUGACCCGGGGUGGUUUAAGUAAGGCAUCGAGAGUAAUCAAUAUCAGUGAGGACAUAUUUGCAGGUUUCAACUGCACCCUGCGUGGUGGAAAUGUUAGCCACCAUGAGUACAUCCAGGUUGGCAAGGGGCGUGAUGUUGGGCUUAAUCAGAUAUCGAUGUUUGAGGCUAAGGUAUCCAGUGGCAAUGGUGAACAGACAUUGAGUAGGGAUAUCUACAGACUUGGUCAUAGAACUGAUUUUUUCCGGAUGCUUUCUGUGUUUUAUACAACAGUGGGAUUCUACUUCAACACAAUGCUGGUGGUCUUGACAGUUUACACAUUUGUUUGGGGGCGCCUGUAUCUGGCCCUGAGUGGUCUGGAGGCUGGAAUUCAGGGAAGUGCUAAUGCUACUAACAAUAAAGCCUUGGGUGCUGUGCUAAAUCAGCAGUUUGUCAUACAGCUCGGAUUCUUCACUGCCCUGCCAAUGAUUUUAGAGAAUUCUCUUGAACUAGGUUUUCUACCUGCUGUCUGGGAUUUUUUCACAAUGCAGAUGAAUUUUUCGUCUGUCUUCUACACAUUUUCCAUGGGAACAAAAAGCCAUUACUAUGGCCGAACAAUUCUUCAUGGUGGUGCAAAGUAUCGGGCUACUGGCCGUGGCUUUGUUGUGCAGCAUAAGAGUUUUGCUGAAAAUUACAGGCUAUAUGCUAGGAGCCACUUCAUAAAGGCUAUAGAGCUCGGAAUAAUAUUGACCGUGUAUGCCGCUCACAGUGUGAUUGCCAGGAACACACUUGUUUACAUAGUCAUGAUGAUAUCAAGCUGGUUUCUUGUGGUGUCCUGGAUCAUGGCUCCAUUUGCAUUUAAUCCUUCUGGCUUUGAUUGGUUGAAAACUGUGUAUGAUUUCGAGGAUUUCAUGACCUGGAUCUGGUUUCCAGGAGGUAUAUUUUCUAAGGCUGAGCACAGCUGGGAAGUGUGGUGGUAUGAGGAGCAAGAUCAUCUGCGGACUACUGGCCUUUGGGGAAAGAUUUUGGAGAUACUGUUAGAUCUCAGAUACUUCUUUUUUCAGUAUGGGGUUGUAUACCAGCUCAAAAUCGCAGACGGAAGCAGAAGUAUUGCGGUGUAUCUGCUUUCCUGGAUAUGUGUGGCAGUGAUCUUUGGUGUUUUUGUCCUGAUGUCCUAUACCAGGGACACGUAUGCUGCAAAGCAACAUCUUUACUACCGGGUUGUCCAGACUGCUAUCAUCGUUCUGGGAGUGCUGGUGCUGAUAUUAUUCCUGAAGUUUACUAAGUUUCAAAUCAUUGACAUCUUCACUGGCCUUUUGGCAUUCAUUCCUACUGGCUGGGGCUUGAUUUCCAUUGCUCAGGUGAUCAGGCCAUUCAUCGAAUCCACUGUGGUGUGGGGCAGUGUUAUUUCUGUGGCGCGUUUGUAUGAGAUACUGCUUGGAGUGAUUGUUAUGGCACCAGUUGCAUUGCUGUCCUGGUUGCCAGGAUUUCAAGAAAUGCAGACAAGGGUACUGUUCAAUGAAGGUUUCAGCAGAGGCCUCCAAAUAUCCCGCAUUCUUGCUGGCAAGAAAACGAACACAAUUUGA